GCCGGCCAACUUCAUUGUCGAGGUGGUCAGCCUUCCAAGCUGAUGAUGCGGGUUCGAUUCCCGCCGCCCGCU
This 72-nucleotide transfer RNA is filed under the name Cyanobium sp. Baikal-G2. Its description in RNAcentral is "tRNA-Gly". It matches the Rfam family "tRNA". Rfam says of the family: Transfer RNA (tRNA) molecules are approximately 80 nucleotides in length. The record is from RNAcentral. Lineage: Bacteria; Bacillati; Cyanobacteriota; Cyanophyceae; Synechococcales; Prochlorococcaceae.